Molecule: unclassified non-coding RNA, 633 nt
Filed under: Drosophila willistoni
Lineage: Eukaryota; Metazoa; Arthropoda; Insecta; Diptera; Drosophilidae
Description: GK18998
Source: RNAcentral
CUCGAGGAAAAUCAUCACCCCAUCAUUUAAGAAUAAUUACAACAAAUUUAAUAUUUUUGAGAAAAAUGGGUAGCGUUAUUUUUGAUAAAGUACUUGGUGAUAUCAGCCGACGAUCAGCAUAUUCUCAAAUUCUUAUUGGAGUUGCAUCCGGGCGACUGGAUUUACAACUAUGAAAAUUGGAAAAAUUGCCGCAUUUGUGAUUGGAGGAAGUAUUAUUUUAGUGGAAAUCGCUCAUCAAGAGGGCCUUAUCCAAGUUAAUUGGCCAAAGUUAAUGAAAAAGAUGGACAUAAUUACAAAACAAAUACAAUCUCCUGUAGUAGAAAAUCAUGCGACUCUGAUUAAAAAGACAGAAACAUAUAUUGAUGGCAAACUAGACAAAGCUGACAGUUUUGUACAAAACAGCAAUAAGACCUUUAAAAAGUGGUACACUAAAAUGAUUGGCGAUGAUAAUGGACCCAGAAUAACAUCGUUACACAUUUUCCUGUGUGGUUUUAUUGGUGGAGUGGCAUUGGGGAUAGCUACUAGCUAAUUUCAACAAUAAUAUAUCUCUUUCAAAAAUAUUUUCUAUCCAAUCUUCGAUCAUAAAGGUCGAUAUUUCAAUAAGACAUGUAAACUACAGUAUCUAUUUAUUUA